GUUUUUACAGGAGUAGAAUAUGUGCUUGCAUCUCUGGGUUAUUUGUGGGGCAUAGGAAUUUGUUCAUUUCCCCCCGCUUCAAAAUAUAGUCCAGCCCCCCACAAGGUCUGAGGGGCCCUGCUGAAAAAGUUUGCUGACCCCUGCUCUAGGUGGUGGUGGUGGAAAUGGAGACCAUCAAGAGAAACAUCACAAAAAAUGCCGCCGCUUGUGACUCUCUCACCUUUAUUUCAUGUUUUCUUUUUCCUAUAAAACUCCUCCAUAAAUUUCACAAAUUUAACAAAAAAAAAGGCGUAAAAGUCAGGACAAAAAAAACCCAAUCCCUUAACUUAUUACAAACAUUCCCCCCCACCACCCCUCCCGCCUUUCCAGGUUUCAUUUCGGAAUAAUGGGCUAGGUUUAUUUAUUACACCAGAGCAAAGAAAUCCCCUUCCCUUCCCUGCCCCGCCCCCAGCCCCAAAGUACUUUUAAUAUCCUCUGUACAUAGACCAGGUAUUUAAUACCUUUGCUUCCAGCAGAAGACAGCCUUAAAAAAAUUACACACCAGCAAGAGGAUCAAGUACUCAGUCGCUUCCUUCAAGAGUGCAAAACUCCCACCUCUUUUUUUUUGUUUUGUUCUCAAGGCCUUUACACACUCAUGACACCCCCACCCGCAGCCAAUUAAAAUUAGAUAUGUGUUAUGACUAUUCAAGGAGCAUGGUUAGGGAUAUGUGUACUUUACAAUAAAAAGGGAGGGGGAAUCUGAAUACUGCAACCUGUAUAUGUUAUAUGCAAUUUUUCUUAAUCAAUUUGCAUAUUCUUCUGGUAUUGCUAAUCAUGGGGGGUGGCAAAGAGAUAUGAAAAGCCCCUCCCGUAACCACAGGAAACCUUAGCUAGCCCUCACCACCUACUGGUAAGAAUACGAACUGGAAUCUUGCCGAUUUCAAUUUCUUCUCUUUUUUUUGGAAAAAAGGAAAGUCCUGAGAUUCUCAGGAAGAUUAAUUCCGGAACCGACAGCACCUUUCAAACUCAGUUCUGCUCUAGCACGAAAUGGCAGUGGACACACAACUUUUAACACGACGGACAGAUCUUCCUAGGAUGCUUCGAAGACCAGAAGCAUCUCCCGAUUGCGCCCGGGGAGCGCAGAUCUGGCCAUAAUUAAAAACACUUUAAAAAUCCUAUUUCUUUCCAUGGGUGGGCGCAACUCCCCUGUUGAAGUAGCAGCAGUGUUUCAAAAAAAUCACCAAAGUGGAAACAGACUGGAGAGCACUUUUGGCUUGCUGUUUGGACAGAACAUGGGGGUGGGGGGCAAACUUCACGGAGGGCAGAACUUUUCUUUGGAGACGGGUCCCACUUUGAGCGAUGAACUCAGACCCUCAUCUCUUCCCAACAGCUGGGGGGAGAGGACAGAGCAGCUGAAAUGGGUAACGGAACAGCUGCGUCUCUCUCAGCUGGUUCCAAGGUUCUUGUGGCUAAAACGCUUCCUGUAAGUCAUGGGUACAGCAGAUGGAAGCUCUCUAAAUCUCUGCUGAGUACCAGGAAUGGACACCAGGCCUGCGGGGAAACCCAAAUGAAUUUGGAGCACAAAUCUUUCCUCCUGCCUGGCACAUUUAAAAAGGGGAAGUCUGGGGGGAAAUGGGGGGGAGGGAACCAAACACUUUUGAAAUAUUUGUUCUGAGCAAUAGCUAAAAUUAGCAUUUGUUGCAUUAAAAAGGGUGUUCCCCACUAGAAACAAAACAUUUCUUCCAUUUCUACUGUUCCUCAGCUCAAGCAGAACUUGCAUUCUGGCUGAAUUGCACCGUCAGUUUGUUCCUAUUUUCAUCUUCAAUCCUAUUUGCUAAGUGGCAAAAAAGAGACCAGGCUUAAAAAAACAAUCUGGUAGAUGAAGCCAAGCUGCGAGAACAGCCCACCAAUUUCAUCAGUUAGCCUUGGGAGGCAGCCAGCUGAAAUGGCACAGCUACUGGGGCCUGACAUAAGGCCAGGUUGCUCCCCCCCCAGAUCACAGAAGGCCGGGAUCUCAUUUGACAUGGCAGAGAGUCUCAAAGGCCAAACUUCAUCUACCGUAUUUUUCGCUCUAUAAGACGCACUUUUCCCCCUCCAAAAAUUAAGGGGAAAUGUGUGUGCGUCUUAUGGAGCGAAUGCAGGCUCCUUGGCUUCGGCGAUAGCAACGCGAAGCCUCCGAAGCACAGAGGGAGAGCUCCCCCCGCGCUCCGGAGGCUUUGCGUUGCUUUCGCUGAAGCCGCCUGAAGCCCCCGGAGCUCAGCGGGAACUCCCACUGCGCUCCGGAGACUUCAGGCAGCUAUCCGCAAGCCUUUGGAGCGCAGCAGGAGUUCCCGCUGCGCUCUGAAGGCUUGCGGAUAGCCGCCUGAAGCCCCCGGAGCGCUUCCCUCUUGCUCUCCAGGCUUCGCUUCGCUGGAGAGGCGCUGCACAGUUUUCCCUCUCUGCGCAGCACCCCUUCAGCGAAGCGGGAGGAGAAAUGGAAGGGGCUCCUUUUUCUUUUUUCCUGUUCACCCCCUCCUAUGGUCCGGUGCGUCCUAUAGAGCGAAAAAUACAGUAUUUCCUGAGCGCCUCCAAAGCUCCGCAUGACUGUAGGGUCUGCCUCCUUUCUUCCAUACCACACUUGUCAGAAUAUUAUACAUGUGCUCAGCGCUUUUUUUUAUUUCAUAAAACUGUAUGCACUGCUUGAUUGUAAAAACCUCAGAGUGGUUUGCGGACCCUUGAAGCAAGCCUUUAAGUUGCCACUCUACAGUGUUGCAUUUCUGCUUUUAAAAGAGAGCCCUUUAUCGCCCCAGACCUACCCGUUAAAUCUUAGCAGUGCACAGAUGUCUUAAGAACCUCCAGAUUGUAACACUGCCACAGGGGAUCAUACAAGCAGCCGUUUAGAUGCCCGAAUCAGGUCCUGUGCAGCUGUUAACACUGAAACGUAUCUUUAAUAAUUAUUUGAAUGGAAAACGGAAAGAGCCCAUGCUUAUAGCUGUAGGAUUUUGUGCUCCGAGAUGUAUAGAAUUCAUUCCAGACUCUUUUUAAAGUGGCAGCAUUGCAUAUAUUUUGCUUUCCCCCAAAUUUCUCUUAAAAACAAAAC
This is a non-coding RNA of Podarcis lilfordi (Lilford's wall lizard), 3058 nucleotides long. The record is from the annotation of a GenBank genome assembly. NCBI's taxonomy places the organism in Eukaryota, Metazoa, Chordata, Lepidosauria, Squamata, Lacertidae.